RNAcentral lists this non-coding RNA (543 nucleotides) under Pan troglodytes (chimpanzee). Lineage: Eukaryota; Metazoa; Chordata; Mammalia; Primates; Hominidae. The record is from RNAcentral.
GCACUGAUGGAGGCAUUUUCCAAAGAACAGUGACAAGGACAGCCAGCACCUCUCCUGCAUUCCUCAGUCUGACUCAAGCUGCUCUUCCACCCUCCUCCCCAGCUGGAGCUGAGGCUGAAGGCAGUUGAGGGCCACCGGAGAGAAGAGCUGGGUCAGGGCCGUGACUUGCAGCAAGCAUGAGGCCAUGCAGAUGUGCCGGGCAGGACGUACGAAUGAUGUUAUUUCUGGCAAGGAGGACAUGGCUGCUGUGGUUGAUUGGCUGUGGAAUUCCAGGGGAGCAAGGCACUAGGAAGUGGGGAACGCUGCCAGGCCCAGCAGCUCAUCAGGAGCUUGCACUUGGCCCAGUUAGGGCUGGCCGUGGGACGGGUUUGUUGAAGCUGCUGCCGCCAUAAGCUGCCCCUCUGCACCAGGAGACAGAUCCCAUUACCCCACCUACAGCUGCUUCCUGGUACAAGAGAAGAGUUACCAUUUGAAGUGACUCCACAGGAGAGUCUGACAAACAUGUUUGCUUUUCACUGACAAUUAAAAUUGUUUUGCUGCUAA